RNAcentral lists this long non-coding RNA (361 nucleotides) under Mytilus galloprovincialis (Mediterranean mussel). The record is from RNAcentral. Lineage: Eukaryota; Metazoa; Mollusca; Bivalvia; Mytilida; Mytilidae.
GCCGUUGUCUGUGCCAUCACUUGUGUCACAAAAUCCUGACAAGUUUAUGGUCUUCUGUCUGGUAAUUGUCAAAUCAAGCUCUGUAGCUUAUUUUUCUGUGAUGAGGGCAUCUGUGCGCCCUUGUCAAAUAAUGUGUUUGUGUAAGUACAUUGAAUGCCCGAACUUACUUGCGCUACGACAGUUUUUAGUCUGUGUCUGUGAGUGAAGAACUGUACCCGUUUUCUUCGCGUUGUGUUGUGUUUACUGAAUUGUGUUACUAGUAAUAUAUUCAUUAGUGUUACUCUGUUUUUCAUCUUUUUAACCUCGUCUUUGCAUAAACUAGUAUGCUGCUUUAUUUUACAUUUCCUGCAACUUUUGUGUG